This is a long non-coding RNA of Protopterus annectens (West African lungfish), 1360 nucleotides long. RefSeq lists it as uncharacterized. NCBI's taxonomy places the organism in Eukaryota, Metazoa, Chordata, Ceratodontiformes, Protopteridae. The record is from RefSeq and is a predicted model, not a curated record. The transcript has 2 exons.
GUGUGUGAACAGCAAUAUGCUGUGGCAGUGGCAUGCAGUCUAAAUUCGUUCAUAUCAUAUUUACCCAGUUAUGCUCAUCACUACUUCCACAAAAAUCGAAAGCCUACCCAAAAAAGUGAUAACAAUGUUGCAGUCCAGUUACCUGAUGCAUUUCCUACGAUCGUUAAUUGCAAUCUUUAGAACAGCUAUCUGGAACAGUAAAACUUGCAGAAAACACAUUAACUCCAAAUCCAGUACCGAGACAUCUUGGAGUAUUAUGUUUCUUACUCCAAGCUAGAGCGAUCUCGCAUGUCAGUACGUUGUCAUUCUCAAAGUUAAUGGGAAACACAGGAAAAGAAAUAUUUCCCAUGCAGAGAACAAAUCUUCUGACAUGACAGAGAGAGAGAGAUUUGAUGAUGCAUGUGUCUUGCAAGCUGUGAUAGAUGACAUCAAUGUUGCUGGUGGCCAAAAUCAGAAUUAAAAGCAGGUGAAACGGGCCACUGAUAUAACACACUAGGACAGCCCACCUGGCACAGCAGUAGAGGACCACAAUAGGGUGUUUCUCUGACAGAACCACCUUUGACAAGAUGGCGGAGUUCCUGGAAUAUUUUCACGUGAGUCAGGACAGUUCUGAUAUCUAUGCUGGAGUGACAGGCAUUACUCUACAGGGCACUGAACAUGUUUGUUGGUGUUGCUCCAGGUCAACAUGGGUUAAUAAUAUCUGCAAUAGUAGUACACUGCAAGGUGAUCAAAUGUACAAGCAUGGCUUCUUUGUUUUACAGAAAUAUCAGGUCUACAGGUCUCAAUGCCAUCUGCCCAUGGUAUGUUAAGCAUUACUUUACUAUUCCACCAUUAAUUAGUAGUACAGUCAGUUCCACUUAAAUGCAUAUCAGAUAAAAGCAUAUUCCGGUUAAAUGCAUAUAGUCCAUUCAGUCCUGUUGUUAGUCAAUGGAAUUGCAUUGUAGUGUUUUCUGCAUUAAUGCAUAUUGGUUAAUUGUACUUUGUUUAAAUGCGUAGCUGUCUCAAAUCCCAAGUAGUUCACUGCCAUGUUAUUUACUCAUCAUAACAGCAUAGCCCAGUAUGGCUGCAAGAUGUAACAGAGGGGGGUUUUAUGUGUUCAGUGAUCAGGACAAUGUCUCUACUGCUCCGGUACACUUCCAUGAUGUUAUUCAAUCUCUGGAUGUACUGCACAGAUUCAUGGAACAAAAGGAAUGAGAGCCAUUUUCCACUUUCUAUGAACUGAAGGACAUUGUAUUUCAUCUGAAACAGCAAACAGCGGUUCAGACAUCAAUAACAAUUUUUUUCUCUAAACCAUGAGGGACUGUAUUGACUACAGUAAGUGUUUAAUACAGUAAAUUUUCAAUAAAGUUUCUGAAAUGUA